Cyprinus carpio (common carp) is the source of this 1030-nucleotide long non-coding RNA. The record is from Ensembl. NCBI's taxonomy places the organism in Eukaryota, Metazoa, Chordata, Actinopteri, Cypriniformes, Cyprinidae.
CAUGCUUAUAUAAUGUAAAGAAGCGUAGCUGAAUACUCGAGCUUUAUGCUGAAUAUAAAACAAACCACACCUCUGUUAUCAGGUAUAUAAUGAUCUGGCACUGUCCAUCUUCCAUCUGACACCCUUCAGCUGGAUCAUGGCACUGCAAAUCAUCUCUGUGGUUCUUUUCACUGUGUUUUUCUCUGAAGCUCUGACACUGAGAUGUUACAGCUGUAACACACCAGUUCCAUGCACACAAACUGCAAACUGUAGUUCUCAGAGUACACAUUGCAGCUCCUUCACCAGAAACUGUAAGAAUAACAUCACUAUGAAAUGUGUAUAACUGGUAAGAAAUGUGUUACUAAACUGUUUUGCUUAUGAAUCUUCAUUAUUUUUAAUGUUAUUCUUUGUAGAUGGCAUUGUUACUAGCAUUAAGAAUUGCAGUGACUCAUGUGAUUAUUGGAGCGUAAAUGUUGGACAGCUCGGAAUGACCUCCCAGUGUUGUGAUUCAGAUCUCUGCAACAAUAUUACAGGUACUACUAAUGAAACAUUGGACUGUGAUGUUACUUACUCUACAUAACACACUCUAAAUCUAUGUUACUCUAACAAGUGUUACAUGUUUUUUUUUUUUUAAAGAUCAGUUUUAUAUUGAAUUGACAUUUAUUCUAUAUGGAUGUGUACAUGAAUUAAAGGGUUAGUUCUCCUCAAAAUUAAAAUUCAGACAAUGCUGACUGACUUCUUUUGAAGAAUAUACUCAUUGAGGUUUGAAGCUUUAAAAAGGACACCAAAGCCCCAUAAAAGUGGCCCAUACAACAUUUAUGUCAUUAUUCACUGAUAAGCUUCCUCUCUGGUGAGAAAGAUUUGAAGUUGAGGUCAUUCUGACAGCUUUUUUGAACCAGAUCAACUGAUUCAAUGAUUGCUCAAAGAAUGAGCCAUAUGUCACUUUUUAGAGGAUAACUGUUUAAUGAUUAGUCUGUUCCUCACGAAAAGCUGUUGGAUAGAUUCAGAAGAAUAUAUUGCACAAUAUGGACCACUUUUAUGAUACUUGUGG